RNAcentral lists this ribosomal RNA (496 nucleotides) under uncultured bacterium. RNAcentral describes it as "partial 16S ribosomal RNA". It matches the Rfam family "Bacterial small subunit ribosomal RNA", at positions 29 to 507 of the family's 1533-position model. The record is from RNAcentral.
AUGAACGCUGGCGGCGUGCCUAAUACAUGCAAGUCGCGCGAACAGACGAGGAGCUUGCUCCUUUGACGUUAGCGGCGGACGGGUGAGUAACACGUGGAUAACCUACCUAUAAGACUGGGAUAACUUCGGGAAACCGGAGCUAAUACCGGAUAACAUGUUGAACCGCAUGGUUCAACAGUGAAAGACGGUCUUGCUGUCACUUAUAGAUGGAUCCGCGCCGCAUUAGCUAGUUGGUAAGGUAACGGCUUACCAAGACAACGAUGCGUAGCCGACCUGAGAGGGUGAUCGGCCACACUGGAACUGAGACACGGUCCAGACUCCUACGGGAGGCAGCAGUAGGGAAUCUUCCGCAAUGGGCGAAAGCCUGACGGAGCAACGCCGCGUGAGUGAAGAAGGUCUUCGGAUCGUAAAACUCUGUUAUUAGGGAAGAACAAAUGUGUAAGUAACUAUGCACGUCUUGACGGUACCUAAUCAGAAAGCCACGGCUAACUACGUG